GAUGAAGAACGUAGCGAAAUGCGAUAAGUAAUGUGAAUUGCAGAAUUCAGUGAAUCAUCGAAUCUUUGAACGCACCUUGCACCCUUUGGCAUUCCGAAGGGUAUGCUCGUUUGAGUGUCAUUGUACUCUCACACUCUCCGAUCCUAUGGAUUCGGGGAGCGGUGGACUUGGGUGUUGCUGCCUUUCCUUGUGGCUCACCUCAAAUGUGUCAGUGCACCUCUUGGUUGGACAUAGUACGGCGUGAUAAGUGUCUUCGCCGGCACCUCGCAAGAGGGUGGCCGAUCGGGAGCUCUGUGCUUUCAAACCGUCUUCGGACAAUUGCUGACAACUUGACCUCAAAUCGAGUAGGACUACCCGCUGAACUUAAGCAUAUCAAUAAGCGGAGGA
RNAcentral lists this unclassified non-coding RNA (387 nucleotides) under soil metagenome. RNAcentral's name for it is "partial contains 5.8S ribosomal RNA, internal transcribed spacer 2, and large subunit ribosomal RNA". The stretch from base 1 to 120 matches the Rfam family "5.8S ribosomal RNA", at positions 35 to 154 of the family's 154-position model. The record is from RNAcentral.